This is a long non-coding RNA of Gossypium raimondii (Peruvian cotton), 781 nucleotides long. RefSeq lists it as uncharacterized. The transcript has 5 exons. The record is from RefSeq and is a predicted model, not a curated record. Lineage: Eukaryota; Viridiplantae; Streptophyta; Magnoliopsida; Malvales; Malvaceae.
UGCUAUUACUUGUUUAUUCCCUCAGCAGCUGUAAUAGGUAUUCAGGGGUGGGGGCAACGAAUUGGUAUUCACUGUUUACUGAUUUCUUUUCCCCAAAGUUUUGAGACCAAAAUAUCCUGCUUUAUUCUCCCCAAAAAGUUAGCUCUAGAUUUCAUAUCCCCAAAUCAAGCAUCGAUUCACCUUCAUCUUCCCAAAGCGACUAACAAACAAUAGAGGGAAUGGAGGUAAUCUUUUUUUUUAGUCAUCAAGCUUCAUCCUCUCCGUCGUUUCCAUUCCAUUGAUUGCAGAGUGUUUAGGAUCUCUGGGGUUUUCACAAUAAUGUACGUUGAUCCGCAACAGCAACAGCAGUAGCAGAACCAGCCGCACCCGCAAGCUGAGGAGUUUCAGAGAGGUCUUCUGCCUCCGCAAAUGAUGCGGCAGCCAUCUGCUUCUUCCACUACUCUUAACUCGGAGUACCACCACCCUGGUGCUCCUCCUCAGAUGCCGCCUUAUAACGCUCAUGGUGACAAUUUUGCUGCGAAAAGAAUGAGAAAGCUGACCCAAAUGAGAGCUGUUGAUUAUACUAGUACUGUUGUGCGAUAUAUGCAGAUUCGAAUGUCACAGUGGGAUUCACGGGACAAGACAACAUUGCAGAUUCGAAUGUUCUAACUUUUUGAUGUUGUAAAACUGUAUAACAUAUGGAUUAUGACAUAGAAUUUCAUUAAUUUCAUGUAACUUUUUGUUAAUAUAUGAAUAUUAUGUUUAUGCAAAAUAUAAUUCUCAAGUUAUUUAUUACUGUUAA